AAACAUGUCUUUAUGAUUAAUAUUAAUAUAAAGUUUGGCCUGCUCAAUGAAUUAAAUUUUAAUAGCCGCAGUAUUUUAAUUGUGCAAAGGUAGCAUAAUCAUUUGUUUUUUAAUUGGGGACUGGUAUGAAUGGUUCCAUAAAAGUUUUACUGUCUUUUAAUAAUUAAAUAAAAAUUAAUUUAUAAGUUAAAAUUCUUAUAUUAUAUUAAUAGACAAGAAGACCCUAUUGAGCUUUAAUAUACUAUAUUUAUUAAUUAAAAUUGUUUUAAAUUUAUAAUUUUAAUUGGGGCGAUUAAGGAUUAAUAAAAGCUUCCUUGUAUUAAAUUUUGAUCCAUUAAUAAUGAUUAAUAGAAUUAGUUACCAUAGGGAUAACAGCAUAAUUUUUUUAAAGAGUUCUUAUCAUAAAAGAAGCUUGUGACCUCGAUGUUGGAUUAGAAUAUCUAAAAGAUGAAGUUAUCUUUUUAGUUAAAUUGUUCAUUUAUUAAAAUUCUACAUGAUCU
This 500-nucleotide ribosomal RNA is filed under the name Rastodens pseudomarginata. RNAcentral's name for it is "partial 16S ribosomal RNA". The stretch from base 368 to 500 matches the Rfam family "Archaeal large subunit ribosomal RNA", at positions 2542 to 2675 of the family's 2987-position model. The record is from RNAcentral. Lineage: Eukaryota; Metazoa; Mollusca; Gastropoda; Littorinimorpha; Rastodentidae.